This 497-nucleotide ribosomal RNA is filed under the name uncultured bacterium. Its description in RNAcentral is "partial 16S ribosomal RNA". It matches the Rfam family "Bacterial small subunit ribosomal RNA", at positions 28 to 507 of the family's 1533-position model. The record is from RNAcentral.
GAUGAACGCUGGCGGCGUGCCUAAUACAUGCAAGUCGAGCGAACGGACGAGAAGCUUGCUUCUCUGAUGUUAGCGGCGGACGGGUGAGUAACACGUGGAUAACCUACCUAUAAGACUGGGAUAACUUCGGGAAACCGGAGCUAAUACCGGAUAAUAUUUUGAACCGCAUGGUUCAAAAGUGAAAGACGGUCUUGCUGUCACUUAUAGAUGGAUCCGCGCUGCAUUAGCUAGUUGGUAAGGUAACGGCUUACCAAGGCAACGAUGCAUAGCCGCCCUGAGAGAGUGAUCGGCCACACUGGAACUGAGACACGGUCCAGACUCCUACGGGAGGCAGCAGUAGGGAAUCUUCCGCAAUGGGCGAAAGCCUGACGGAGCAACGCCGCGUGAGUGAUGAAGGUCUUCGGAUCGUAAAACUCUGUUAUUAGGGAAGAACAUAUGUGUAAGUAACUGUGCACAUCUUGACGGUACCUAAUCAGAAAGCCACGGCUAACUACGUG